UACGUAGGGGGCAAGCGUUGUCCGGAUUUAUUGGGCGUAAAGAGCGUGUAGGCGGCUAGAUAGGUCCGUUGUGAAAACUCGAGGCUCAACCUCGAGACGCCGGUGGAAACCAUCUAGCUAGAGUCCGGAAGAGGAGAGUGGAAUUCCUGGUGUAGCGGUGAAAUGCGCAGAUAUCAGGAAGAACACCCGUGGCGAAGGCGGGUCUCUGGGCCGUAACUGACGCUGAGGAGCGAAAGCGUGGGGAGCGAACAGG
Molecule: ribosomal RNA, 253 nt
Filed under: uncultured bacterium
Lineage: Bacteria
Description: partial 16S ribosomal RNA
Rfam family: Bacterial small subunit ribosomal RNA
Source: RNAcentral